UUUAAAAGAAGAAUGUGCAAAGGGAAUCAUCGCCCUAUUCCCAUACUUGGUUGACCCCAGGAGCAAGUUUGGUUAUGUUGGGACAGCGACAUGUCUUCCAUUCAGGUGCUGCUUCACCUUUUGCCACCCUCAAGUCAAUGCCGCAAAAGACCAGGAAAGAUCUCAGCUAGACAAGCAUGUGAUCGUCUUGUGAAAUUCAUCAAGACUGUUACCAGUAUCCAAGGGCACUUGGAUAGCAUUGGAGAGUCUCCAGCUGUAUCUACUUGUUGGGCUGAAGAGAAGUAGGGUCCAGUCUUGUUUUAUUGUAAUUGUCCAACAUGCUCUACCCUGUAAGGCCUCUAAUUCACUGGCCUGUGUUGAUGAGCUUUUCAAAGCUCACUUUGUCUUAAGAACUUCAUACUGUCAGGAAUUGACCAUUGUGUAUAGCUUUCUGUAAAACACUGCCUAUGAUAUAGAUGCUGAAACCAUCAAGUGAUCAUAAUCACAAGUGAAUUAAAUGUAAUACUGUUUAAAUAGGAGCUUGAAAAAUAAAAUUGAGA
Sinocyclocheilus anshuiensis is the source of this 539-nucleotide long non-coding RNA. RefSeq lists it as uncharacterized. The transcript has 3 exons. NCBI's taxonomy places the organism in Eukaryota, Metazoa, Chordata, Actinopteri, Cypriniformes, Cyprinidae. The record is from RefSeq and is a predicted model, not a curated record.